AUGCACGACCAUUCAAAAAUACUACCAGGUUUCUAAUGAUACAAAGCUUAAUGCAAAUGGGUGAAGUAUCCCUUUCAGCAACCCAGAAGUCUCCAUUGAAAUCAUCAAAAUUUUGGGAGGCUCUCAGGCUAUAAAAUUGAUUACGCAAAAUCAGAGGCUAUGCUCCUAACGCUUAAUACCAUUUGGACAUCAUAUAGCUCUGCCCCUUUCUGAUGGUCCCCUUCUGGGUUUGUUUAUAUGGGUAUAUAUAAAUUACUCCAUCCCUCUCUUUCUCUAUAAAGCCAACUUUUUGCCUUUAAUCCACAGAAUGAAUAGAUGAUCUGGCAUGCUGGACUUCCUUCACAUUAUCUCUUUUGGGUAGAGUAAAUCUUUUUACUCUACUCUAAAAAUAUUUUUACUCUACUCAGCUGCUUUAUGUUUUUCAAAUGAUCCCAGUUCUUUUGACCGGAAAAUCAAUCCCUUUUUUAAACAGCUCAUUAUCAUCCUUUUUAUGAGAAAAUAAACAAGCUAGAUUAAAACUACAGAAGCUGCAGCACCGACUAGAAGAGGGUGGACUGGCUUUGCCCAAUAUUAGAUACUACCAACUGGCUUGCCUUGGCAGGUAUCUUUGGGAAUGGGUUAGAAAUUACCCGAAAUCUACAUGGCUCAACAUAGAGGCUGCCCCUCUGGACAAAAUUCCUCUUUGUUAUAUUAUGUAUAUUUCUAAAAAAAAUGGGUUUCAGAGAAAGUAAAAGGUAAUUUCCACACUAUGAAAGUAUGGAGAACUAUUAGGAAAAUAGAGGCUCGGGAAGACUGUCUUUCAAGACUUACCCCCAUUUAUCUGAAUCCAGACGUUCCCCCUAGCCUAGUAGAUUGUGCAUUUACAUUUUGGUCAGACAAGGGUAUUGGAACCAUUGGUCUGGUUCAUCUGGGUGUUUGUCCACUAACAAGGUUAAGGUAAUGUAAUUCAAAAUUAUAUACAGGCUUCAAAUUACACCACUGCUACGGAAUAGAUUCAACCCUUCUCUUUCAAAGAAUUGUAAUAAAUGUAAGGUUAUUGAAGGGACAUACUUCCACUGUAUCUUCAAUUGGCCUUUCAUCAAAACGUUUUGGGUAAAUGUUUGUAAAGAAAUGUCUGUAAUGUUUGGUAAAAACUUAGAUCUUAAGCCGGUUUCUUGUAUUAUUGGUUUAUAUUCUGCAAUUAAUAUUAAACCCAACAUGUUGAAACUCCUUGAUGUUCUUUUGUUUGGUGCUAGAAGGUGCAUCUUACUUCAGUGGAUCUCUAACAAACCUGCUCAGCUCUCAAUGUGGUUACGAAGUAUAAUAGAACUCAUACCCCUGGAGGCCAUGACCUACUGGCUCAAGGACAAACCCUCUUCAUUUCAAAAAAUAUGGGACCCUUCUUAACCUAUAUUGGAGUAGAGAAAGCACAGCCUCUGCAAAGAGGCCUAUUUGGACUUAUUUGGAUAGAUAUGUUACGGCUCUGGCUGUGAUCCUAUUUCUGUGUAUCCUUUGUGUCCCCUCCCCCUCUGUCUGUCUGUGUGUGUGUCUCUGGAGGGUGUGGCUGCAAUCAACACCGGGUGACUACUCACACCUGCAGCUCGUCUGCUCAUCUGCCUCAAGUUAAAAACCCUGGGUUCAACUCGACUCAUUGCCAGAUUAUUGUGCCUACUGAAGUGAUUCUCACCGGUGUCAUCUCCUCCAGUCUGCUCUCCUCACAGACAACACAACCACUCAUCCGCCUGCCUACAGAACCAGCUACUCCAUAGUCUCCUCCAUGACGUCAUUACCAGCCAUCCACCUUUCCCAAACCCUGCAAUAAAACCUCAAAUCCUU
Labrus bergylta (ballan wrasse) is the source of this 1815-nucleotide long non-coding RNA. RefSeq lists it as uncharacterized. The record is from RefSeq and is a predicted model, not a curated record. Lineage: Eukaryota; Metazoa; Chordata; Actinopteri; Labriformes; Labridae.